CGCAUUGCGGCAGCUAUAAUGCAGUCGACGAACUUCCGUUAAUUGAUUAUGACGUACUUGUACUGAUUGAGAUUUUAACACGAAGUGAGUGGCGAACGGGUGAGUAACACGUGGGUAACCUGCCCAGAAGUAGGGGAUAACACCUGGAAACAGAUGCUAAUACCGUAUAACAGAGAAAACCGCAUGGUUUUCUUUUAAAAGAUGGCUCUGCUAUCACUUCUGGAUGGACCCGCGGCGUAUUAGCUAGUUGGUGAGGUAAAGGCUCACCAAGGCAGUGAUACGUAGCCGACCUGAGAGGGUAAUCGGCCACAUUGGGACUGAGACACGGCCCAGACUCCUACGGGAGGCAGCAGUAGGGAAUCUUCCACAAUGGACGCAAGUCUGAUGGAGCAACGCCGCGUGAGUGAAGAAGGGUUUCGGCUCGUAAAGCUCUGUUGUUAAAGAAGAACGUGGGUAAGAGUAACUGUUUACCCAGUGACGGUAUUUAACCAGAAAGCCACGGCUAACUACGUGCCAGCAGCCGCGGUAAUACGUAGGUGGCAAGCGUUAUCCGGAUUUAUUGGGCGUAAAGCGAGCGCAGGCGGUCUUUUAAGUCUAAUGUGAAAGCCUUCGGCUCAACCGAAGAAGUGCAUUGGAAACUGGGAGACUUGAGUGCAGAAGAGGACAGUGGAACUCCAUGUGUAGCGGUGAAAUGCGUAGAUAUAUGGAAGAACACCAGUGGCGAAGGCGGCUGUCUGGUCUGCAACUGACGCUGAGGCUCGAAAGCAUGGGUAGCGAACAGGAUUAGAUACCCUGGUAGUCCAUGCCGUAAACGAUGAUUACUAAGUGUUGGAGGGUUUCCGCCCUUCAGUGCUGCAGCUAACGCAUUAAGUAAUCCGCCUGGGGAGUACGACCGCAAGGUUGAAACUCAAAAGAAUUGACGGGGGCCCGCACAAGCGGUGGAGCAUGUGGUUUAAUUCGAAGCUACGCGAAGAACCUUACCAGGUCUUGACAUCUUCUGA
This 1001-nucleotide ribosomal RNA is filed under the name Pediococcus pentosaceus. RNAcentral describes it as "bacterial SSU rRNA". It matches the Rfam family "Bacterial small subunit ribosomal RNA", at positions 34 to 994 of the family's 1533-position model. The record is from RNAcentral. Lineage: Bacteria; Bacillati; Bacillota; Bacilli; Lactobacillales; Lactobacillaceae.